GACGAACGCUGGCGGCGUGCCUAAUACAUGCAAGUAGAACGCUGAAGAGAGGAGCUUGCUCUUCUUGGAUGAGUUGCGAACGGUUGAGUAACGCGUAGGUAACCUGCCUUGUAGCGGGGGAUAACUAGUGGAAACGAUAGCUAAUACCGCAUAACAAUGGAUGACACAUGUCAUUUAUUUGAAAGGGGCAAUUGCUCCACUACAAGAUGGACCUGCGUUGUAUUAGCUAGUAGGUGAGGUAAUGGCUCACCUAGGCGACGAUACAUAGCCGGCCUGGAGGGGUGGACGGCCACAAUGGGAACGGGACAACGGCCAAACCUCCUCCGGGAGGCAGAAGUGGGGAUUUUCGGCAAAGGGGGGAAAGCCGGACGAGGAAAGGCGGGGGGGUGGAAGAAGUUUUCCGGUUGGAAAACUCUGUUGGUAGGCAAGGAAGGGGGUGUGGGUGAAAAGUUCGCGCUGUGACGGUAGCUUACCAGAAAGCGACGGCUAACUACGUG
RNAcentral lists this ribosomal RNA (497 nucleotides) under uncultured bacterium. RNAcentral's name for it is "partial 16S ribosomal RNA". It matches the Rfam family "Bacterial small subunit ribosomal RNA", at positions 28 to 507 of the family's 1533-position model. The record is from RNAcentral.